RNAcentral lists this RNase P RNA (353 nucleotides) under Candidatus Colimonas fimequi. RNAcentral describes it as "RNase P RNA component class A". It matches the Rfam family "Bacterial RNase P class A". Rfam says of the family: Ribonuclease P (RNase P) is a ubiquitous endoribonuclease, found in archaea, bacteria and eukarya as well as chloroplasts and mitochondria. Its best characterised activity is the generation of mature 5'-ends of tRNAs by cleaving the 5'-leader elements of precursor-tRNAs. Lineage: Bacteria; Bacillati; Bacillota; Clostridia; Peptostreptococcales; Anaerovoracaceae. The record is from RNAcentral.
CCGGUAAGACAGGCAAUUGCGUGGAUCUUCGGGAUUCAUGAGGAAAGUCCGGGCUCCAUAGGGCGAGGAUGCCGGAUAACGUCCGGCGUAGGUAACUAUAGGGAAAGUGCAACAGAAACAUACCGCCGAAACGGGUAAUGCCGUGGUAAGGGCGAAAUUGUGAGGUGAGAGCUCACAGGGGAUUAUGGUAACAUAGUCCUCGUGUAAACCCCAUCCGGAGCAAGACCAAGAUAGGGCACAAAAGGCGGCGGCCCGUCGCUGCCCGGUAGGUAGGUCGCUAGAGCUUGGUAGUAAUAUCAAGUCGAGAUAGAUGAUUGCCAGAUACAGAACCCGGCUUACGUCUUACCAGUAAC